Phascolarctos cinereus (koala) is the source of this 834-nucleotide non-coding RNA. Lineage: Eukaryota; Metazoa; Chordata; Mammalia; Diprotodontia; Phascolarctidae. The record is from RefSeq and is a predicted model, not a curated record.
CCAAUCGGUUGUUCUCCAAAUUCACCCCAUCGGCUUAACACCAGGCAGGCUUUUCUGACUCCCCAACACCUAAAAUGGCCUCGCAGACCCUGCGGACAUUAAGUUUCUGCUGGUGCUCAAAUAGUAAGAGGACUUUGUCCACUCUCAGUUUUGGAGCAAGUCAACAGGGGAGGUGCCUCCCCCUGCGAACCAUUCAGGCUUGGUGUACUGAUGGAUGGGUAUGCAUUUCUUAGGAAGAGAAGUGCUGGGUGCCAAGGGUAAUUCCAUGCACACACACUAUUCAAGAUCAAAGGCCAAAGACACAACCAGAGACUGGAGAAGAAGAAUCAGGAGGCAGCCAAGCUAAUGACUUAAACCCAGCACUGAUUGUGAUGCUUAAGACCUAAAAACACUUCAUUGCCAGCCUUGAAGGAAAUCAGACAAUGAGACCAGAAAACAUGAAAUAGAUGUUUCUUCUCCUAAGUAUCCAUAGGAAUUUGCCUCACAGCCCUCAAAUACCAAAUGUCAUAAGGAAGAAUUAGAACCAAUAGGAGGAACCACAAGAAAGAGGCCUCUAUGGAAGAAAUGGAGAUACAAAGCUUGAAGCCCUCAUUGGCAUGAAAUUUAUCUUGGCACCUUUAUUUUCUCACUAAACCACAUCAUUGACCUUGCAUGCUGGAGUUUAGAGUCCACAGGAUUUGCACUAUGCUUUGGGGGCAUAAUUGCAACAGAAAACUUGAGUUUCAAAGGCAAACAAUGGAAAUAAGCAACGAGCUCAUCUCCUUCUCAGACCUCUUCACCCUUCCCUUUUUCUUCUUCCCUUUUUCUUCCCUCCUCCCUCCUCUCCUCCCUCUU